Molecule: non-coding RNA, 310 nt
Organism: Arachis ipaensis
Lineage: Eukaryota; Viridiplantae; Streptophyta; Magnoliopsida; Fabales; Fabaceae
Source: RefSeq, a predicted model, not a curated record
UUGAGUUGUUGAAAUUGAACAAGGAUGGCCUAAGAUUGAUGAGAAGGCGGAUAUGUACAGCUUAGGUGAAAGAGGAAGAAUUUGUGGAAUUGGUGUACCACAUGAACAUUUUUGGAAUUCGUUUGGUUGUAUUUUUUACUUAGUUUGGUUCUAUUUCUUGAUUCAGUUUGGAAUUGGUGCACCAUUUUUGCAAAAUUUUUGGAAUUAAUUUCGUUGUAUUUCUUGAUUCAGUUCAGGUUGAUUAUUGUUCUAUCUGUUUCUGCUGUUUUUGUAACAAAAUUGUUAAUGAUUUUAAUUUGUUGUACUUCUG